UUGCUUCAGCAGCAGAUAUACUAAAAUUGGAACAAUACAGAGAAGAUCAGCAUGGCCCUUGUGCAAGGAUGACACACAAAUUGAUGAAGUGUUACAUAUUUUU
Molecule: small nuclear RNA, 103 nt
Filed under: Propithecus coquereli (Coquerel's sifaka)
Lineage: Eukaryota; Metazoa; Chordata; Mammalia; Primates; Indriidae
Source: RNAcentral